RNAcentral lists this microRNA precursor (119 nucleotides) under Paramuricea clavata. Lineage: Eukaryota; Metazoa; Cnidaria; Anthozoa; Malacalcyonacea; Plexauridae. The record is from RNAcentral.
CGAAUAACAUUUUGAUUUUUAAUCGACGUUUCGACUAGUUUGUAGUCAUCCUCAGGAUUAAGAAUCCUGAGGAUGACUACAAACUAGUCGAAACGUCGAUUAAAAAUCAAAAUGUUAUU